This 271-nucleotide ribosomal RNA is filed under the name uncultured archaeon. RNAcentral's name for it is "partial 16S ribosomal RNA". It matches the Rfam family "Archaeal small subunit ribosomal RNA", at positions 477 to 747 of the family's 1478-position model. The record is from RNAcentral.
CAGCGCCACGAGUGGUAACCGCGAUUAUUGGGCCUAAAGCGUCCGUAGCCGGUUCUGCAAAUCCUUUGUGAAAUUGUCUGGCUCAACCAUACAACGUGCAAGGGACACUACAGAACUCGAGACCGGGAGGAGUCAGAAGUAUUCCAGAGGGAGCGGUAAAAUGUUAUAAUCUCUGGAGGACUACCUGUGGCGAAGGCGUCUGACCAGAGCGGAUCUGACGGUGAGGGACGAAAGCUAGGGGAGCGAACCGGAUUAGAUACCCGAGUAGUCC